CUAGACAUUGACAUGUACUCAAAACAUCCUUGAACAUUCUCGGGAUAUCUGUGCUGUUAGAAAUAAAUUCAAAAAUUAUAAAAAAAGAUGUACACAGCGACCAAAACGGAUCAUAACUAAGCCUCCCCGAUACCAGUCAACAUCGUCAGAUGAACAACCCCAACAGAAGAGACGCUUUGCAGCAUCUGCUACAACUGGUACCAUCCAUGACGACAUUGGGGAGAUAACAAGAACUCUGGAAGAGGAAGAUUUUUAAUAUACAAACUUUUAAUAUACAAACACAUAUUCAACCUACACAACAUACACAAUCAUUCACAAACGUUGAUACUCCAUAUAAUACACAAACACGUACAUAUACACCUAACAUACAGACGUACACUCACACCCCAUCCAUACAAACAUGCACAAACAUAUUACCAACACAAACACAUUUUAUAUUAAAUAAAGAAAACGAACAAGUUUUCUACAGCAACAGUUUGCCUCAGUCGCGAACUCCACAACCAUUGCAGGAGAGAAGCUUCCAAUUUGGGCUAAGUGGUCAGGAUGGUGCAAUUUUCCCUACGCAGAAUACUCAGCAUGAUAAUUUAGAAAAAAGAUGCUGUAUGCAGAAAUAGUUAUUUUACAAAACCUCAGAAGUCAGAGUUCCAGAAGGAGAUGCGGAACUUCUUGCGCGUUAUGAAAGAUAGGAACCGAAUAAGAAUGAGUAGACGCCAACGCAAUCCCGCCCCACUGGACGUUGAGCAUUUGUGGGACGACGAGGAGAAAGAAGACAACGAUGAUUGACACACCAACAGCUUACAGCAAGCAGACUGUCCAGAGAUCCGUAGCUGCUUGGCUGUUGGAGAUUUCACAGUCAUUAGCGAUAAUUAAAAAGUUGGUUAGUAUUAGUUCGUAUAGUCUACAAACUAUU
Molecule: long non-coding RNA, 910 nt
Organism: Harpegnathos saltator (Jerdon's jumping ant)
Lineage: Eukaryota; Metazoa; Arthropoda; Insecta; Hymenoptera; Formicidae
Exons: 3
Source: RefSeq, a predicted model, not a curated record